Molecule: ribosomal RNA, 250 nt
Filed under: uncultured bacterium
Lineage: Bacteria
Description: partial 16S ribosomal RNA
Rfam family: Bacterial small subunit ribosomal RNA
Source: RNAcentral
UACGUAGGGUGCAAGCGUUGUUCGGAAUCAUUGGGCGUAAAGCGCGUGUAGGCGGUCAAGUAAGUCUUGUGUGAAAUCCCUGGGCUCAACCGAGGAAGUGCAUGGGAAACUACUUGGCUUGCAGACGGUAGAGGAAGGUGGAAUUCCAAGUGUAGAGGUGAAAUUCGUAGAUAUUUGGAGGAAUACCGGUGGCGAAGGCGGCCUUCUGGACCGAUCUGGACGCUGAGACGCGAAAGCGUGGGGAGCAAAC